AAAGCCGGAUUAAUACCGCAUACGCUCUGUGGAGGAAAGCGGGGGAUCUUCGGACCUCGCGCUCAAGGGGCGGCCGAUGGCAGAUUAGCUAGUUGGUGGGGUAAAGGCCUACCAAGGCGACGAUCUGUAGCUGGUCUGAGAGGACGACCAGCCACACUGGGACUGAGACACGGCCCAUACUCCUACGGGAGGCAGCAGUGGGGAAUUUUGGACAAUGGGGGCAACCCUGAUCCAGCAAUGCCGCGUGUGUGAAGAAGGCCUUCGGGUUGUAAAGCACUUUUGUCCGGAAAGAAAACCUCUGGGUUAAUACCCUGGGGGGAUGACGGUACCGGAAGAAUAAGCACCGGCUAACUACGUGCCAGCAGCCGCGGUAAUACGUAGGGUGCGAGCGUUAAUCGGAAUUACUGGGCGUAAAGCGUGCGCAGGCGGUUCGCU
RNAcentral lists this ribosomal RNA (435 nucleotides) under Burkholderia sp. Mb301PR. RNAcentral's name for it is "bacterial SSU rRNA". It matches the Rfam family "Bacterial small subunit ribosomal RNA", at positions 154 to 584 of the family's 1533-position model. The record is from RNAcentral. Lineage: Bacteria; Pseudomonadati; Pseudomonadota; Betaproteobacteria; Burkholderiales; Burkholderiaceae. RNAcentral also lists the same sequence under 15 other names.